UUUUUUUUUUCUAACUUCGUGGUCUCGCAGCUCGAAUCAUAAUGUCCGAGCAACAGGAAGAGGGACCGAUCCGACCCCGUCAUCUCCGCCAAGCGUACCGGCGACUGAAGCUAGAGGGGAAGCUUCCGAUUCGAUCCAGACCAAGCCUUUUUCGCUAGAACAAGAAAACUCGAGAUGUCAGCUGCAAAGGCUCUACGAAACUUGGUAUGUCUAAGUCGCUUUCGAUUUCUCUCUAGGUACUUUUUCGCCGUAGAGGUUUGACAAAAGAACGUGUGAUGUUGAAUUCUCAGGGUCUCCAUCGUACAAAUGCGAAGCCGCCACUUUCGCUCGCUGGAAAUCUCGAUGAGUUUUACACCCGGCAAGAAGAGCUCCCCAGGUGAUCUCGUCAGGGACAAAGGGCAUUUGGUUUAUGAGCUCCUCGGCCCUGUCAAGCUGCCCAGCUCUCGCGAGAAGAUCCACCAUGCAAGAGAAGUGUUCUAUCCCGGGUCUAAGCACGGGAUCCUCGCUCAUCAGCAAGAAGUAAGACCAUCCUUGUUCCAAUCGGCCUCCAUGACAACAGGCUAUUAAAACUCCGAGGUAUGAGAUCUCGUUUGGUUUGCAGGAGUCCAGGAACAUCAGCCCAAAACACUCGAUCGCUUCUUUGUCAUGUCCAGAUUGAGCGUUUGCUACGAUCAAAGUCGUGAAAGUUAUAGUGUUUCUCUCAGGAGAUUGAUAGAACAUCUUUCUUGCUUUGGCUGUAAGACCUUUGUGAGCAUAUGCUCCAAUGAUAAUGUUGUAAGAGACAACGUUCCUCUCGGGCAUAUUCUCGAACGUAAGCCUCGCAUCUAGAAGAUGCCCGUUCUGGGUAUAUGCCGUUAGUAGGCUUGUCCACGUUACAAUGUCGUGAAGAGGCAUCUUGUCAAACGUUGCUUUAACCUCGUUUAGCUGGGCGUGUUCACCAAGGAUAAGAAUCACUGCGGUACACGUGACAACAUUAUACUCGGGCAUCUUUCCAAAGAUGCUCAUUACAGCCUCUAGAUUCCCAUCCUCGGCAUAUGCCUGUAGAAGCGUAUUCCACGCGACCAAAGUCUUCUCACGCAUUCUAUCAAAUACCUCUUUUGCACCGCGUAGAUUCCUGUUCACAGCGUAAGCUUGCAGCAUCGCAGUCCAAGCUACCGUAUUAUGCUCCGGCAUAUUCUCAAACAUUCUUCUUGCUACCACAAGAUCCCCUUCUUGGGCAUAUGCCGAGAGCAUAGCUGUCAUAGAUACCACGUCGUGCUCUGGAAUAUUUUCUCGUAAAUACUCAACCCCGGAGAACUCACCACUCUCGGAAUAUGCCUGCAGCAUCGUAGAGUACGUGACCACAUUACGCUCGAGCAUCUCGUCAAACAUUCUCUUGACCACGUCCAGAUACCCUUCCCGGGCAUAUGCCAUAAGCAGGGUAUUCCACGUCACGAGAUUCCACUCGGGCAUCCGGUCAAACACCGACUUGGCACCGGCGAGAUUCCGAUGCUGGGCAUAUGCCUGCACCAUCGCCGUCCACGUCACGAUAUUCCGGUCGGGCAUCAGGUCAAAGAUUCCCUUCGCAUCGUCCAGAUUCCCGCGGCGGCCGUACGCCGUGAGCAUCAGCGUCCACAGCACGACAUCCGGGCCGUCCAUUCUGUCAAAGAGCUCCCGCGCUUGAUCCAGAUGCCCGUUCUGGGCAAAUGCUGUCACCAUGAUGUUCCACGAGAAAUAGUUUGGAUCUUUGAGGUUAUCGAAGAUCUGCUUGGCGUGGAACACUUGCCCGCACCUUCCGUACAUCUCGAUCAAGAGAUUCAAGAGCAGCGUGUUCUGGCCGUGCUGCCCUUUACGAAUCGCUUCGUGUAGCUCGCGGCCCCGGGCGAGAUUUCUAGAUUCGCCACUGGAUCGGACGAGCGAAGCUAGAGAUUUCACGUCCAUUCCAUCAAGAUGUUUAGAGAAAACCAAAAAAUAGUUCGACUAUUAAGGAGAACACUCCACGCAUUUGUACUGCCCUGUACAAAAAGCCCAAGCUUGAUCUUCAUUGGAAUCCCCCGGCGCCGCCGCGGAGCGCGAGAACGAGAUGGAGCACGGAUCCGCCCUCGAUGUUGUAAUCGCGCGCGGUUUUGUCGUCGUUCAUCUGCUUCCCGGCAAAGAUCAGCCUGCAAGAACAAAGAGUCAUUCCAUCUCUCCCAGAAGAAACAAGAGAUUUCUUUCGCUUGCCUCUGCUGGACGGGAGGAAUCCCUUCCUUCUCCUCGACGCGCUCCUUGAUGCGCUCGAUCGUGUCAUUGGGCUCGAUGUCGAUCUCGAUUUCCUUGCCUGUGAGUGUCUUCACCUUGAUCAUGGUGCCGCCCAGCAGCCGGAAGAAGCCAUGCUUGCCCAUCGGAGCUCCCCCCAGUCCAGCAGCCCUAACCCUAGGCCUUUAAAACUGUACGGAAAACUUUAGGACUGAGAACUUUGCAUGGGACACAUGGCAUCCAACGGCUCAGAUUGGUCAGAUUAGGGUUUAGGGUUAUGGAAGGUUACUUGUUCUUCCCUCUCUCUCUCUGUUAUCUGGCUGUUUGAUCGAUCGAUCGAUCGAUUCGAGCGAUUUGUGAGGACGCAGCGCUCAAUCAAUGGUACAUUUUAUCACUGAUCCAGCAGGGGAGGAAGAGGAUAGCAAGAAUUCAAGCAUGCAGGAAAGAUCUAGUUUAAAAAUGUAUGGAUCGGAGGAAGAGGAGGACGAUCCAGUGGCAUCCCAGGCAGGGCCGCUGCUCGGCGAGGAGGGAUACCACGAUCACAGCGUUUCUUCGUCCAAGCUCGGGUCUGGAUCGCCGGUUUUCUCAUCGCGGGUGGGGAGAUUGCUCCGCGAGAGGCAGCUCCGGAGGGGCGAGAGCGGCGCCGGCGAUAUCGAUGGGAUUGGGGGCUCGGAGGGGAUCAUCAAGGACGAGCAGAGGCAAAGGCUUCUCGUCGUGGCGAAUCGCUUGCCAGUGUCGGCUAUCCGGCGUAGUGAGAAUGCGUGGGCCUUGGAGCUCAGUGCUGGUGGGCUUGUUAGUGCGCUACUUGGUACGUGUUUUUUUCCUCCUCGUUUUUCUUUUCUUCCCGGAGCUCUAGCUUGCUUUCUUUGAUCUUGCAUCUUUGAUCCUCGCAGGAGUGAAGCAAUUCGAAACGACGUGGAUCGGCUGGGCUGGUGUCAAUGUCCAGGACGACGUAGGAAAAGAAUCUCUUUCGAGAGCUCUCGGGGAGGAGGUAAAAGCGUGCUUUGUUCGAGUGCUCCUUUUGUUCUUGAGCUCAUCGUUUGUGAAUUUUUUGCCUGUUUCUUCCAGGGGUUUGUGCCGGUCUUUCUCGACGAACAGACUGUUGAUCUCUACUACAAUGGCUACUGUAACAACGUUCUCUGGCCGCUUUUCCAUUACAUUGGACUCACCCAGGACGAUAGGCUGGCUGCGACUCGUGGUCUCGAGGCCCAGUUUAAUGCGUACAAGCGCGCAAACUCGAUUUUUGCGCAGGUUGUUCUCUCGCAUUAUCAGAAAGGGGACGUCGUCUGGUGUCACGACUACCAUCUGAUGUUUCUGCCGAGGUUUCUCAAAGAAGCCAAGAGUGAGAUGAAAGUUGGAUGGUUCUUGCAUACGCCGUUUCCGUCGUCGGAGAUUUACAGGACUUUGCCGCAGCGGUCGGAGCUGUUGCAAGCCGUGUUGAAAGCCGAUUUGAUCGGGUAUGUGUUUAUGUUAUCCAGGACUAGGGGUAGCUGAUGGUUCGCAGGUUUCAUACAUAUGACUAUGCGAGACACUUUGUCAGUGCAUGCACACGUAUUUUGGGCUUGGAAGGGACGCCAGAUGGUGUUGAAGAUCAAGGAAAGCUCACUAGAGUCGCAGCUGUACGUAUGAAGUUCGGCUUUUGGUCUUUGGUAUGUAUUGAGCUGUAGUUUUGAGCAGUUUCCAAUCGGGAUUGAUGCGGAGCGCUUUGUGAGGGCCUUGCAUACGUCUACUGUUAGAAAUCAUAUUCAGGAGCUCUCUAGGCGAUUCUCGGGACGAAAGGUACGAGGCUUUGAAUGGAUUGGCUUUGUGUUUCACACGUAUUGUUUUGUCAGGUUAUGCUGGGCGUUGAUAGAUUGGAUAUGAUCAAAGGAAUUCCGCAGAAGCUACUAGCGUUUGAAAAGUUUCUCGAGGACAAUCCGAUUUGGCACGACAAAGUCGUCAUGGUUCAGAUCGCGGUGCCUACUCGAACAGAUGUUCAUGAAUGUAGAUUGACUUUAUCUGUCUUGCGCUUUUUAACUUCGAGACUUUUGUAGAUCAGAAGCUAUCGAGCCAAGUUCACGAGAUUGUUGGACGUAUUAAUGGUCGAUUCGGAACCUUGACAACAGUUCCCAUCCAUCAUCUGGUAGACGAAGUAAUUUUAUUCUUAUUUGGCUUUGUCAAGUUUCAAAAUAGGACCGAUCACUGGAGUUUUGUGAGCUAUGUGCUCUGUAUGCGAUUACUGGUAAGCUUUAAAACUUCGUAAGUUUCUGGUUAUACUUAUGCCACUAUUAGACGUGUUGCUGGUAACAUCUCUGCGGGACGGCAUGAAUCUUGUGAGCUACGAGUAUGUCGCAUGCCAGGACCAGAAGAAGGGUGUUCUUGUCUUGAGCGAGGUGCUGAAUUAAAUUUCUUCAGAUUGGAGCUUUUAAGUGAUUCAUGCUUGUAGUUUGCAGGUGCAGCACAAUCGCUGGGUGCUGGAGCGAUACUUAUCAAUCCUUGGAACAUUGUCGAGGCGGCUUGUGCCAUAGCAGAUGCGUUGAACAUGAGCGAGACUGAACGGCAAGAAAGACACCGUCACAACUUCAUCCAUGUUACAUCCCAUACGGCUCAGCUCUGGGCCGACACGUUUGUAAGGUAAACUCGUACUAGGUUCUUCGUAUCUCAAACGCUCUCAUUGUUUUCUUUCCAGUGAACUAAACGAUACGGUUGUGGAGGCAGAGUUGCGCAUUCUGCGUGUACCCCCACCACUGCCGGUCGAGAAAGCAAUUAGCAGUUAUGCUACGUCGAAGAACUGCUUGCUGAUUCUAGUAAACUUGUUAUGGUUUUCCAUCUUGUAAUUGUGACUUACUUCGAUGUUUUACUCUACUUCAGGGAUUUAAUGCGGCUCUCACUGCACAAGCAGACGCUCCUCGCCUUGAUCGUGUUAGAGAAACUUUGCAUCCUGCUUUGCACGAAACUCUUCGACAUUUAUGUGCGGAUCCAAAGGCAACGGUUGUGAUACUCAGUGGUAGCGAGCGCUCUCUUCUUGACGAGGUCACUUCUGAUUGUUUCUCGAGAAUUCUGAUUUUUGUCGGUAGAGUUUCAGGCUUUUGGCGAUUUUAAGUUAUGGCUUGCUGCGGAAAAUGGCAUGUUUCUCAGACACACGUCUGGUGACUGGAUGACAACAAUGCCCGAGCACCUCAAUUUGGACUGGGUUGAGAGCGUGCAGGUACCAUCAGAAGCUGGUUCUUUUUGUAGUACAGCAAUGGUGGUUUUAACAAGCGCUCCAACAGCUGGUGUUCGAUUAUUUCAGCGAGCGCACACCGAGAUCAUAUGUCGAAGCUCGUCAAACUUCUCUAGUGUGGAACUUCAAGUAUGCAGGUUGGUACCUUUUGUGUGUCUCUUAGCUGCUUAUAUUUUACUUUUCUUCUGCGCAGAUCUUGAGUUUGGAAGGGUUCAAGCGUGGGAUAUGUUGCAGCACUUGUGGACAGGACCAAUCUCAAAUGCCGCCGUGGAUGUCGUCCAAGGGAGCAAAUCGGUGGAAGUUCGUCCUGUUGGAGUUUCGAAGGUAAGAAAACCAUCGAUAUCCUUUUCUUUUUCCCCUCGUAACAGAGAAAAUCCUACAGGGUGCCGCAAUCGACCGCAUUCUUGGAGAAGUUGUCCACAGCAAGAAUAUGAGCGUGCCAAUCGACUACGUGAUGUGCAUUGGACAUUUCCUCAGCAAGGUUUGCUACAAUCAGCAAAGAUACGAUAAAAGUUUUGAGCGUCGUCUUUCCAGGACGAAGACAUCUACACGUUUUUCGAGCCGGACUUGCCUUACCAGAGAGUGAAUAUAGAACCCAAAGCAGCGUCUCCCCCGAGAUCCAAAGCAGCACCAUCAACAACAAAAGCAGCGCGCUCGCCGGAUCAUCCGAUUGCUCCCCAGGAAUCGUCAAUGAUCCAAGGUGCGUCGGUUCUGGAUCUCAACGGGGAGAACUAUUUCUCGUGCACUGUUGGAAGGCAGCGAUCUCUCGCGAGAUACUCUCUUGCAGGCAGCGAAGAAGUUGUAGCGUUUCUUAGCUCUUUGGCGAAGCCAAGCAACUGAUAAACUUUGAAUCUACGCCGUCGGAUUGGCUAAAAUCCGACGGCUGUGAACAAACUUACUUGGAUAGUAAAAUGUGACAUUCUCUAAUUUCUAGCUCUAGGGUUUUUGAGCUCCAUGGCAGCGUCCACCUGGCUCACCAAGUUCCAGAGCUUCAAGAUCUCCUCCGAGAGCUUGAUCAUCGCAAGUAAGUCGCAUUUUCCAUCCCUCAGAUCUGAUAAUACGCUCCCGCCAGUCGAUGAUGUGAGCGAUUUGUGGCCGCUCGUCAAGGAUUCCUUCGAGGCUCGCAUUCCGCUCAAGAAGACGCUGCUCAACAACAAGGCUCGCAAUCCCGUUGUCGUGGAGAAGCUGCCGGUGGAAUUUGUGCUCACUACAGAUCCGCGCCUUCGGUCUCGAUUUCCUUUGGAGCAAUCGCCCUUUUUCUUCCGGCUCCCCUAUGCGACCAUUCUCUUGGUGACAUGCGAGGUACUGUAGCUCCAUCCAAUUUUUUCUAGAAUUUUUCUCCUUUUGUGUUGUUUCCUUUCUAGUUGCUACAAGCAAUGUGGGUGGCUUGCGCAGGACAUUGACGAUUACAAGGCCAUUUUGAAGCCGCGAAUCAAAGGCAUGGUACAAAACGAUGAGCGAGAAUGGUUUAUCGUUUUUGUAUCCAAGGCCAAUCCCAAUGAUCCGACCGGGAAGCAGGCGAAGCGCAUCUAUAGCAAGCUGGAAGUUGACUUCAGCAGCAAGAGACGCGAAAGGUUUUUCUUUCUUUUUUUCUCUUUUGCUCGCGUUAUUUCUAUGAGCUGUGAGAACUUAUGCCAGACGAGUUUUUGUAGAUGUUGCAAGCUGGAUUUAAGUGCCUCGGACGCAGCCUCGUGGGAGGAAAUUGAUGCUCGCACUAGCGAAUGCAUCCGCAAUACGCUAGAGCGUCGGGUACAGUCUUAUGAUGAGGUCAAGCGGCUAAACGAAAAUCGUUCGAUGCCGGGAUGGAGCUUCUCCAACCUUUUCACCGUUAUGGUAUGCUUUCCUUUUGGAUUUAUGGCUCUUGCCAACGUUCAAGUCUAUUCCAAUGCAGGAGGGUCUGGCCUUUAUGUUUGAGCUUGCAUAUCUCUUUGAGGACGCACUUCGAGAAUAUGAUGAUAUUGAGCAAAUAUAUCUGGAAAUAGGUGAGGUAGUGUUUCAAGCUGCAUUUUGUAUGUCCAUAUGCUAGACCAUGGCCUGCUAAAGCAAUUCAUUUCUGAUUUGCAGUAACUGGUCAUGGCAGUUAAUAUUCCUUCCUCGAAGAUGAGGGACUUUGGCGGAAUGGACCAUGGGGACGACCGUGCAGCACUUCUCGAAGUGUCACGGAAGCAAGUCACACAGUUUACUGUUGACGAUUAUUUCCGUGAAUUUGACUUCCGCCAGUACCUUUUUGCACGUCAGGCUUCGGUAGUUUUUCUAACCAUUACUGUUGUUCCUUGCUAAAGAUUAGUCUCUGCAGUUGCUGUUCAAGUUAAACCGUACAAUUGAUGUUGCUGGAAGAGGAUUGUAUUUCAUUUACUCGUUCUCAAAAAUUUUAUCUAUGCACGAGGUAAUCUUUGUCCUUCUCUCUUGGAAAUGGGAUGUUUAAUACAGCUUGUAUUAAACAGAAAAACCUGCCAUUUUGUAUGCGGGAAAUAUGGGUAGUUUCAGCCUGCCUGUCACUAAUAAAAGCGACAGUGGAAUGUUUUACUCCUCGAUCAGUGACGCCAGACGCUGAAAAGGAAUUCUAUCGCCUUCAAGCAGACUUGAACUCGCUUGCUAGAACAAAGGUAACAUUUAAAUGGUUUUGCGAUGGCUUUUUUGGUAACCUUGAACUUUAGUUGAUGAGGCUAUCCGAGAUUCUUGGAUACGGACCACUACAUUCAACUUCGCCGCGCAGAAGUUUGUAUUCAAGUGGUAGCCCCGCAAGCCCAUCGGCAGCCGCUGCUGAGAAGCCAAAGAAACUAGAUGACGCACAUACUGAUGCAGUGGCUGAAAUACUAAAAAUUGUCACCCACGAAGGCCUCAAAAAAGCAUUAUCAUCACCUGAAGGAUAUGAGGUAUGAAGAAUGUUUUCUUACCUGUACUCUGUCUUAAAGUGACACGCAGGCAAUGUAUCUUGAACUUACACGAGCAGCAGCUGACAACUACCAUCGCUCUCGCAAAAGGCAUGGUGUUGUCCUGGAUGGUGAAGUAGCGGCAUUACACCUUCGGACAGGGAAUUUUGAUUCUGCGGCGAAACUAUACGAGAAAGUUUGUGCUCUCUAUUCCGGUGAGAGAUGGCAUGCUUUGGUAGCUGAGGUCCUCCCACGUCUUGCCGAAUGCCAGAAACAAUUGGGCGACCUUGGGGGAUAUCUUUCUUCCUGCAUAAAGCUCCUGUCACUGGAUCGCGGAUUGGUACCUGUUGAGCAAAGGAAGGCCCUUCAGUCCGAAGUUGUGAAACUCGCACACAGUGGACUGAAAGUUCCUCUUCCCGUGGACGUGUCAGCUCUGAUGACGUUCUGCGGACAACCUGGACCACCAUUGGAGCUCUUUGAAGGGGAUCCAGGGACGCUGCCGGUUACAGUAUGGAGUGGAUUCACCGACGAGAUUUCACUCCAAUCCCUGAGCAUGACGCUGUCUGCAACUUUCAGUCUUGAUGAAAGUGCCAAGGUUUGAAAUGCGUCAUUCAUGUGAUAUUCUGAUAUGUGUUUCUGCAGACCAUCAAGAGUGCAGAUGUCCCUGUUCUGUCACCAGGAAAGAAUACUAUUUCGAUGGUGGUGCAACCUCAAAAACCAGGAUCAUAUGUUCUUGGAGCAUUAACUGGACAACUUGGUCAAGUGGCGAUACGUUCACAUUCAUGUUGCACCAUCAGCGCCAUUGGCUCGCUUGAAAAUGAUGACUAUUUGAGCUCGGAGAGGCCCGUAAGACCCGUGCUCCAGGUAUGGCUUUUAAAAACAUGUACAGGAUCAAAUUAAAUUCCUCUGUGUCCUUGACAGGUUUCGGUUCCUCGACCCCUUGUCGAAAUGAAGCCAGAAACGUCACGUACAGAACCAGAAUUGUCAGGUCUUACGGAGCCGUUUCGUCUCAGCACUCGGGUCGUCGCAAACGAAAAUGCGGGAGUCUUUCUGCUGCAGGUAUUCCUCCAUAUCGCGCGUUUCACUCACUUGACAAGUUCUGCAGGUUACUUUGCUAUCCCAAGUUAACGUCGGAGUUACAAUCUUAGAUGCCGCACUUAGCUUGCAAGGUGGUUUUCAUCAUGCCACUAGUAGCUCCGAUCCGUUGUGGAUGCUUCCAAUCGCGAUUUCUGGAUAUGCCGAAUGCGCUCUCGUUUUCCUAAUCAAAUUAGACGACCACGAAAACGGCGGUGAGUAAAAGCAAACUUACUACUGCCACGCUCAAAACUUUUCUCUCAGAUCUUCCCAAUGGUGGUGGCUACGAAGAGGAACCAAGAGAAAGAAGCGCUCUGUCCGUUAGCUACAAGAUAUCUGGAAGCCAAGCAUCCUCAACCUCAGGGGAAGGCAAGAUCGACGAGCAAGACGUCCUGACUUUCAAAGGCUUCUUCCAGCUGCAAGUGCCGGUCUCGGACCAUCAAGUAGCAGUCGGGAUGCUGCCACUACCAGGCCCGUGUCCACGAGUCGGCAAGCAAGUUAUCCUCCAGUGGAGAAUCGAGAGACUCAAGAAAGCGCAGUCGAGCGAGGUAAAGCUCAGCCAUUUACUUUCUCUUUUCAUUCAUGGUUCUUUUGUAGAUCGAGCAGCUUGCGUACGAAGUCAAGGCGAGCCCGGCGUCCUGGAUGGUUGCGGGGAGGCGGAAAGGUUUUGUGUCACUGGCGAUCCAAUCCGGUACGAAGCUAGUCGUGUCGAUUGCUUGCCUGCCUUUGGUUGCCGGGCAUGUCCGCCCCCCAUCGCUGGAACUUUGCGGGAUUGAUCACUCGCAAGUCAGCCAUUGUCAGCCAGCUUCUCAUCUCGUGUACAUUCUGCCGCCUUCACCCUGUUACGCGUUUUGCCUCGAGGAGAAGCCACAGUCUUGAAUGAAAAGCUUGCAACGAUUUCAUCGUUGUGCUUGUUUUCUUUCAUUGAAACUCUAGAAAUACAAAUGUAAACAGAUGCUCUGUGAGGUACUCUUUCGUGAAGUUUGUCAAAUCCCAUCCUUUGUUUGCGGGACAGGGAAUUUGGGCAAAUUCACGUAGGUACACAGAGGUUAUGUUAUCUAAUGAGUGGUCAGUAGAACCCUAGAAGUUGAAGAAGCCGUUGACUUCCUCCUCGCUGUUGACGUAGUCAAUGGGAGCCUUUUGACUAGGGCAUGACGACUGCUCUUGACUGAAUUCCUCGAGGAAAUUCUCCAAGUCCGGCAGGGAGUCGUCUAUCACCGAUAUGUCAAACCCGGAAAAGUCAAAGCCCUCGUCAUCAUCUGCGGUGCCGUCAUCGUCAUGCUCGCCACCCUCUUGCUCUUCCUCGCCACCCUCUUGCUCUUCCUCGCCACCCGCUUGCCCUUCCUCGCCACCUUCUUGCUCGUAGUCAUAGCCAUAGUCGCAGCUACCAUAGCCAUAGUCGCAGGUACCGUCAAACACGUAGACGUAGACGGCGCCCAAGAACGUAGCCCGUAUUCUCACCCGCGUGCGCGUGAGGACAUUGAGCUCGUAUGACUUCUUCAGCAAAUUGUCCAUUUUCUUCUUGAAGGCGUGCCGCCGCUUGGAGAGAUUGACGAUAAACGCCAGCUUGAGCCUCUGUCUCCCCAUUUAAUCUCUCCCAAAGUAUGGGACCAAAGUUUUAUAUGCAAUCUUUUUGGAUAGGAUUUCCUUUAACCUUAAGAGCCACGUGGAUGCUUAUCUAAUUUUAGACGUUUUAGGGUUUUUCUAAUUCAACUUAAAUAACAAUUAACUAUGGUUAUGUAUUUUACAGUGCUCUGUUUUUAGGGCUCCUUCAAGUUUAGGGUUUUAUGCUCCCAUGGGCGGGGAGCAUGGCGCUGGGUCUUGGUACCUCUGCUACUUCUUGCACAGGCUGCUCGACUACCGCAUUCCAGAGGUUGAAUCGCUAGCCAAGCUCUUUGGGUGCUCCGGGAAGCUGCAAUGGAGGCAAGCGCCCAACCAUCAUCCCGACUCGCCAUUCUACUUCGUGCGCCUCCCGUCGGAGGAUAUGGCGCGCAGCAUCGCCAAGCGAAGUGCGUAUCUUCUCUUGCUUUGGGCUUGCAUUGCAUUUCCCGAUGGAUUGAAAGCGGUUGUUUUGCGCUAGGCGUGCUCGUGAAGGCCAUUUUCGAGAUUUGGGGCGAGGGGAGCACGUACGAGGAGCUCCGUGCGGCCGUGGAGGCGUUCCCGGAGGAGAAGAAGCGCCCCUACUUGGGAACCGAGGUGACUUUCAAGAUCAUUGUCGACACUUUCGGGAAGGUCAUCAGCUCCGAGGAACAGAUCAAGCUCAUCAACAGCUUCGAUUUCAUUCCUUUCCAGGUACAUUCUUUCCUCCAGUUUCAACUUGUAUCCAUCGAACUUCUUCCAGGGUCGCGUCCAGCUGAGAGAUCCUAAAGAGAAGUUCUGGUUCAUGGAAACGGAUGGCCGAGUUAUCAACAAUGGGAUGCCAGCGCCGCUGGAGCCAUCGGUGGAUGGCACAAGGCUCUUCUUUGGACGUGAGAUUGGGGGAGCUGACAGGAGCCUCGUUACCAAGUACGCAUUGAGCACUCGAAAGUAUCUUGGUCCUACAGCUAUGGAUGCUGAGAUUGCGUGUCUCAUGUCUAACCAGGCUCUAGUAGACACGGGCAAGUUUGUGUAUGAUCCCUUCGUCGGGACGGGCAGCAUCCUCGUCGCGGCUGCUCACUAUGGUGCCUUGACAAUGGUAAAAAAGCCUCUUUUUUCUCCUUUUCUUCUUCUUUUUCGCUUGUCAUACUUUGAUCUCUCGCAGGGUGCCGAUAUUGAUCUACGAGUUAUUCGCGAUGGUCGUGGCCCGGAUUGCAACGUUUGGAGUAACUUUAAACAGGUAAACACUGCGAGAGCUCAAGGACUUGCGUUCUUCUCAUUCUUGUUUUGAUUCUCUUCGCUUUCUUCAGUAUGAUUUGCCUCCGCCAGUGGGCUUGGUUCGAGCAGACAACAACGCAAGGCCAUGGCGACCAAACUUGAGGGAGGUUUGUACACACUUCCUUCCUAUCACUCAAACCCUCUUGUGAUCUUUCGCUAUUCCAGGUUUUCGAUGCUAUCAUCUGCGACCCCCCGUAUGGAAUCCGAGCCGGGGGAAGAAAAUCCGGAGGGAGGAAGCUCCUCAAAGGCAUCAUAGAUCCAUACAUCAUCCCGGACGACAAGCGCAAGGAACACAUCCCUUCCACCGCAGCCUACAUCUUGGAGGAGUGCGUCCACGACUUACUCGACAUGGCGGCGCAGCUCCUCGUCACCGGCGGCCGCUUGGUGUUCUUCUAUCCCCUCUCGCGCGAGGAGGGCGCGGACAACAAGCUCCCGGAUCAUCCAUGCUUCCAGCUCGUUUCUUCCAGCGAGCAAAUCCUCAGCACGAAGUAUAGCCGCUGCCUUCUCACUAUGGAGAAGACGAGCGAGUACACGGACGAUCUGGCUGCCCGGGCGCUGGAAACACACCUCGAGUUCAAGAAGAACCACGCAAAGCUGCUCGACGCCAAAGACAAGCUGCGCUCUUUGGUAUUCACACCCGGCGGCGAAGUUUUGCAGAGAGUUAUUCCCAAAUACAGGGGAAAGUACGUAUGAUAGAAAGGUGGCAAGAGUUUAAUGUAUGAUAGAAUGGCAAUAGCAGAGUAUAUGCAAGCGAAUCUACGCGGACGUUGUUUGCAUUCGUAGCGAUGUAACCGAGGAGAAGGUGCUUAAAAAGAGAGCGAUCCAAGCGAGCGUGGAUGCAAUGGAUACCUCUUGGUUUGACGGUAAGCUCCUCAUGGGCAGCUCCCAGCUCCAGAAGAUGGACACUCCACACUCUCGAUCGUCUCCCUAUAGAUCCAAUAACUUGUAAAUCUUUGUAUCCAAACUGGAGAUGAAGUGCUCGUACCUCUCAUCGUCGUCGACUCCGUGCUGGAUGGACAAAGGUAGCAACGCCUGGAUGAUGGUGGCAGCCAUUCUCGCGGGACUGGCAACCAUGCCCGGGCUCCUACUUCUCUACAGCGGCAUCGCGAGGAAGAAGUGGGCCGUCAACACCGCCUUCCUGACCCUCUACGCCUUCACUGCCUCUCUCAUCUGCUGGGUGACGAUCUGCCACAACUUAGCCUUUGGAUCACACCUCCUUCCCUUCUGGGGGACCCCUGGACCUGUUCUCUACACCAAGUUCCUUCUCAGCCGUAGCCAACACCCGGCUACUCACCAGGACCUCGACUUCCCUUCGGCAACCAUGGUGGCCUUCCAGUUUGGCUUCGCGGCUAACUCCGUGGCCAUUGUAUCCUCUGCGGUCUCGGCUAGAAUCACCUUUCAGGCCUGGGCGGUCUUUGUCCCACUGUGGCUCAUUUUCUCCUACACUGUUGGAGCGUCCAGCAUCUGGAGCGGUGGUUUUUUCUCGCGGUGGGGAGUCUUGGACUUUGCAGGAGGCUACGUUGUCCAUCUCUCGGCAGGCGUAAGCGGCGCUGUUCUUGCUCACUGGGUAUGUCAAACAGUACGUGGUUUAGUCGAAGACUCGAGAGAACUUGUACCUGCAGGUUGGUCCUCGGCAUCCAGUCGAUCGAGCACGGUAUCCGCCAAAUAAUGUGAUGCUCGUUCUCGCUGGAGCUGGCCUGGUCUGGCUGGGAUGGAUCGGAUUCGCUGGUGGAAGUGCCUUCCUUUCUCCACAACAGGCUUCGUUGGCUGUUGUAAAUACCAAUAUCGCCGCUGCUACAAGCCUCUUAGUGUGGACUUCUCUCGACGUCUUCUACCACGGCCAGCCUUCGGUUCUUGGCGCUGUUCAAGGACUCAUGACUGGUCUCGUUGCAAUCUCUCCAGCGGCUGGUAAGCCAGAGUUUUUCCACCUUUCAGUUUGCAACUGUUCUUUUUCUUUCUCUCGAAGGACUUGUCGAAGGAUGGGCGUCGAUGUGCAUAGGAUUGUGCUCUGGAAGUCUGCCUUGGCUGACUCGGCUGUGCCACCAGAAAACUACCGCCAAGUUUUGCGAAGAAGUGGAUGAUACUGCCGGUGCUGUUCAUACUCACGGAAUAGCAGCUCUGAUAGGAGUCCUCCUUACUGGAUUUUUUGCUCAUCCCCGUCUAACAGCUAUGGUUUCCCCGGUAUCCGGCUCGGAAGGCGUCAUCUUUGGAAAUUUCCAGCUAGUACUCAAGCAGCUUGCUGCAGCUUUGCUAGUAAUUCUGUGGAACGUUGCUGUGACCACCCUCAUCUGCGUCGUUGUGAAAAGACUGAUGAAGCUAAGAAUGUCCGAUGACCAACUGCGCAUUGGCGACGAUGCUGUUCACGGAGAAGAGGCUUACGCUGUUUGGGAGGACGGUGAGAAAACAACACUUUGAACAUAAGACUGUAAAUAAAUAAUAUUUACACAAGAAUCAGAAAGUUCUUACCUGGACUGGACACACACUCUAGCCGGCUCCUUUCUCAUUCACAGCUGCAGCUUGCUUCGAUAUGAGCACAGUGGGGGCUCUCACUGCCAUUUGCAUGUCCUCAAACGAAAGGGCCAGCACGGGUUUGCUCGAUAAUAUCUCAAGGAUGUCAGCAUCCAAAUGGUCACUGCCAGGGAUGUGCUCUGGAGCACUUAUUGAUGCUGGCUUUGAAGCAGCCACCCUGGAGGAAUGAUAUUCUGUCUUCAUCAAACAAACAAAAGCAAAGCACAAAACGAACCUGCAACUCAAAUCGCAAGAGUACUUUAGAAUAUUUGGCUGCUGCCUGGUGUUGCCACUGAGAAACACAGUGAGAACUCACUGCAAAACUUACGUACAACACACCUGAAGCUGGGAAGACAAAAGUUCAAUGGCGGACCUUUCCUGGUCGCUUCAUUCAUUACUGAACAGAAAAGAAGAAAAGCAUGUAAGGCCAAACAAAAUAAAUUGCAAUGCUUCUUACAGCUGUGAGCCAUAGAUAUACGACACCACGGAUUAAAGCUUCCACGUGAAACAUCAAGCCCGUGUGUUUCUUCCUCCUUGAUGUCGGAAUUAAAAAAGUUGAAACGAUUCUGAUGAGUUCCACCUUUGUUCCUCACAGAAAUCACAGGCUGGGAAGAAGAAAAUGAAAAACAAAAACCGGCACGAGAAAACGAAGAACGCUUACAUGUGAAAAGCUUGCAAGCUGGCUGGGGAGUCCCACUUCCUACAAAGAAUUCUGUAAGGAAUCAUGCCAACAAGCGCCUCAAAUUCACUCACCAUUCUUCCGUGCCUGCAGGCUCCCUUGUCGUUCACUAAAACUCUCGCUGCCCAGCUAAAAGCCAUGACACAGUUUAAAACCCAAAGAGAAAGCAUAUGGUACUUACGCACAAGAAGUUGGCGGGUUCCAGACAAUUCCAGCAAUCACAACGAGCUGCAAGCGUUCCAAACGAUCAGCGUCUUUCCAACACCCAAAGUUGUCUUCGCAGGAGAACUAUAUUUCUAAUACCUGCUCAAUCUCUGGAUCGUCGACAUUCCACUACCAGAUUAUAUAGAAACGAAAACGAUGGUUCACACAAUGAGCACAGGAGUCAAGAAUAUCACCUCAUCGAAAGGCCCGACUGGACUAUCGUUGUAGUGCGCAAGGAAGAAUCCACCCAGCGUGUAUCUUCACAAAGACCAGAUAAACACAUUUGGCGAAAAAAAGAAAGAAUUCGCACCCAAAAGCUUCCACAAGCUUCAAUUCUCCGGGAAUGUGCCUCCGCGCGGUCUCGGCCUUGACCAAAUGCAUCUGAUACAGCGCCCUACGCACACAAACACACACAAAUCCGUGAAAGAAAGAAACACACCAGAAUUCCUUCACCUUCCUGCGAAGCGCCAUGGAGACCCGGCAGCGUAGCCGAGAAUCUUCUUCUUCUCCUCAGCCGCCAUUGCGAGGGAGGAGCGCCAGGAUCGCUGACGGCAAAAUAUAAACCCCACACACUAUCCAAAAUCCAAAACAAACAGUAUAUUCUCUUAGCCGGUAUAUCCUGUCUCAGUUUGAAAAGAAGCACAUUCUGCUAGGAUUUAGCGUAUUCCGUUAAUAUAAGGGAUAUUCGCCUUCUUCUUCUUCUUCUCGUCGUUUACUUCUCAAGCGAGGAGCCUCUUGAGGUUGUAGGGCUCCGCGGCGCGGAGAUCACCAAACCAGAAGUAGCGAAAUAGGAAGAGAUUAGCUGCCUCGGUGAGAUGCACCGAGUCCCAGAAGAGAUGCGUCGAUGGAACCGGGCAAACGAACGAUGAAUUGUUGCAACCGCCAGCAUGGAACAGUCCAUCGCCGCAGCAAGCCUCCCUCGAGUUCGUGAAUCCUUGAAAAUCAUUCGCGUGAAUCCAUCAGUGCUCGCGACCAUGAAGCGAAGAUCAAAAUCGAAACUUACCAUUCUCUAGAGGGGAACGUACCGCAUCCAUGAGGAGGCCGUAAGGUUUGAGGAAAACCAUGGCCAGCUCCGGGAGCUGGAAGAGCAUCUUGUUCACAAGGUUGCGCAAGCUUUUGUUGAAGAACGCCGCCAUCUCGUUGAGCGUUUGCAAGCAGCCAAUCUUCUGGCGACGGGUGAUCAAUCCCACCUUGGCAACGUAGUAGCGAGCCGCCGGUGCACAGCCGAUCGGUCCCACUCCAACCAGCACGAUCUUCCUCGCUCCCUGGUUGUACAAAGUCUAGCAAGCGCAAAACCAAGAGCGAGGACAGAUCAAAGCAAUGCGAAAGCUUCUCUCGAAGAACUUUUGGAGAAGAGAGUUUUUAGAGUGGGCUUACUUUGACAGCGGCCUCGUACUCUUCCAUCAUCAUGCCCACGUAGUAGCGCCACGAGGAUCCGAUCCGGCGAAAGCUCGAGUUCGUGGGGAAGUAGAGGGCCUCCAGGUCGUUGCUCCCAAUCGCCACUAUAAACACCGAAUCGCGCAGGAUUGUCUUGGCUCGAUCGUCUCCAUAUCGCUCCCGGAGAAGACCCACGCGCUCCGUGAACUGAUCGAUCUGCGUCUUAAAGCUCACGGCUCCCUGGAGAAGCACAUAUAAGCUCGAUCCAAAGAGAGAGUUCUAUACUACGACAUCCAGCGAUGGAAAACGAGGUUUUGGAAGAACGUAUACCGCGUACUCGCCGAUCAAACGGCUCCCCGCGGACGCAAAGUUUGCUCCAAUCUCAAGAACAGCGUCGGGAUCCAUGUAAGACCGGGUGAAAGGGAGGUUGAUCCACUGCGCGAGGAAAUCCGCGAGCGUCCUUCCAUCCGAGAAUCGCCCCGUGGAGACCUUGAAGUAAGUCUCUCCAUACGGCGGGGAGAGCGCCGCGACCGAGGAAUUGGGGGGGAGAAACUUUGCGCUACCAGCGUCGAGGAUGGAGUCUCCAAACACGAACAUGGCGGACGCCGGCUUCGUGGGCAACAUGGGGGCGCCGGAGGCGAUGCGAGCGUGGGACGCGAAGACGAGGAGCUCGAGCAAGAUGGGCAGCACUGGCACGAAGCUAUGCAUCGUGGCUGGGAUUUGGAGUCGAGGAGCCGGCGAAUGCUCGCUAUAAAUUUGAGAGUUCUCGCGCAUCGUCCCCAUGCAGUCGUGAUGACGAGUUUUUUUGCGAGGCUUUUUUGGUCCAGAGUCACGCUUCCGGUUUUUUAUGUAAGAUCGAAACACUCGCUUCAUGCCAAUCUUCUAGAAACAUUCCAUUGUAUUGCAUCUUCAAAAGGUGGCAAUGGAAAGCUGAGUAAAUAGGUGUAUUGUUGAGAAGUUCUAGCAAAGCCAACUCCAUGUUUCUUCCUAUUGCCAGUGCCUUUAUAAACCCAUUAUACAUAUUAUUAUAAGACAGAAUUGCUUACCAUUUUUUUUAAAUAACAUAAAAAUAAUAAGUCAUGACAAAUAACCAAUAAAAAAGAAAUCAUGGUGUAUAUAUCUCAAGAAAUGGUGAAGACAGAGCCCUAUCUAUCCCAAAAACUUUUAUUUCUUGCUGGAUUUUUUAAAAAAAACUAGUAAAAUGUUAACAUCUUAGCCAUUGAUUAGGAUUAUGAAAGAAGAAUAUUUACAAAAUAUUCUAAACACAUAACAUAAAAAAUAAUUUCAGUUAUAUUUUUAAAGGUACACAUUAAAUCACAUAAAUUAAUCUUCAAAUUUGAGAAAUGGAACUGAUGGCUAUACUGGAAUAAACAAGAAAUAACUCUAAUAAAGUGAGGAAUGAGCAUUGUUAGGUAAUAAAAGAAUAAUAUCUAAAGCAAUAUGUAAUUUUGAUACCUAAACUCUUAUUCACAUAUAUUUCUAUAAAUGUGUCUCUUUACUAGCAAAAUCUUUGUUUUAUAUUAUUCUAUUGAAAAUAAUCUACUUCACUUUUUUAUAAUGAGUAUCAAAGUAAAUAAAAUAUUAAAUGUCAAAAUCUUUAUGUAAAUUUUACAAACCAUCUAAAUAAGAAUAUAAAUAUAAAAAAUCAAAAAAAUACUAAUAUAAGAGUAUUUAAUUUAGCAAAUGGAUCAAAAUAUUGAAUCCAAAAUAAAUUUAUACAAGAGUUAUUACAUAAAACUGAGUUUAUAAAUUUAUAUGAAAAGUAUUGAAUUUUUUUCUUUUUUUUAUACAAUAUAUGUUUGGGUAAAAUACCCUACUAACUAUGAUAAACUUAACUUAUUCAUAAGUUAACUAUUACUUUUACUAGUAAUCUAGAAACAAUAUACCUUGAAAAUACUUGUGCAAUCCAACUGCCACUCUGCUCGUGCAAAUACACGAAACCAACAAUGAGUUUUAAGGUCAAUGUUUUCACCAAUCCUUUCCUCGAGUAUGCCAAUCACUAUCUUCCCUGAAUCGUCAGCUUAAAUAUUCACAUCCUUUUCUCUGAGAUGAGGGACAUAUCCAUUCUUGCAAUCUUAUACUUAUACGCAAAAGGUGGUUAAGAAGGUUUAUAAAGCAGCCUUUCAGCUGAAGUGCCAGCUGGCAAUUGCAUGCAAGGUGCAAGCAACCAAUGGGAUAAUAUUGACGUAUCGUUGUGUUGAGAGUAAUUCCCAUGCAACUUGAAGAUAGCACGCAAUAAAAUUCCAACUUCUAGUAUGUUUCACAACUUCUUCUUGACAACCUUGAAAACUCUGCCUCAGUCCAAUCCAGAAGCCGAGCUUUGUCCACUCAACCAUUUCUUGUUCUUGGCAUUGGGCUUGCAAGGAUUCUUCCCAGCGAAAUGCUCUUGUGCUUCCGACACCUUUGGCUGGCCAUUCCACAGGAACUGCGUAACAUCCUCCACCUUGGACAGCUUGAGCAACAGGGGUGUCAAUCUCUCAAGCUCCUUGUCAUCUGCUUCUCCUCUGAAUGGCUUGAUCUCGAUGCCAUUGUGCGGGCACAGCCUGAAGUGGAACCUCUCAUUGUCCACCCACACUAGCCGCUUCAACUCAUGCCUGACCUUUACCUUGCGCACAUCCUUGAUGAAACCGGCCCUCGUCCUGGUGCAAUCCUCAAUGCCGUAAACGUCGGUUAUAAGCUUUGCACUCGCCCCAAACCCUGCCACCGAUUGAUCCAGGUGCCUGGAAUCCGAGACGCUGAAGAUGACAACGCAGUAGGCCAUUGCCAUCCUGCUCAAGAACGCCUCCAGCCCAGGCCUGUUCACAAUAGUGCUCGCGUUCUUCUUCCAUACCAGCGUCUCGUUCAGGUCCAGCACCAAAACGGGUUUGCGCGCUUCCGCCAUGCCCUGAAAGCCCUGUUAUUUAGGGCGUCGUUAAAAAAAAAAGGCCCUCUUCCAAGAGAAAUGGCAUGAACAUUGUCAAGAAUACUCUCAAACCCGCUCUCAUUUGCGAGGUACCGGUACCGCUUUGUUUUUGCCCUUGGCCUUGACAAGAUUCUUGGCAGACUGCACUUGUGCUUCCGACACCUUUGGCUGGCCAUUCCACAGGAACUGCGUCACGUCCUCCACCUUGGACAGCUCGAGCAAAAGAGGUGUCAACUUCUCAAGCUCCCUAUCAUCUGCUUCUCCUUUGAAUGGCCUGAUCUCGAUGCCAUUGUGCGGGCACAGCCUGAAGUUGAGGCGAACAUCAUCCACCCAGACUAGCCUCUUCAUGUUGCACGUAGCAAGCUUGGACACGUCCUUGACAAAUCCCUGUCGGCACCUGGUGCAAUCCUUGAUGCUGUAUACCUCGCUGAUCAGAUGCGCAAAUGCCCCAAACCCGGCCACACAAUCGUUAACAUGCUUUGAGUCUGAUGCGCUGAAGAUUAUGAGCUUGUAUACUUGCGCCAUCUUGCUGAGGAACGCUUCUAGGCCAGGCCUCUUGACGAUAGUGGAGUUCUUCCUGCAAAUCAGCGUGUCGUCUAGAUCCAGCACCAGCACCCCCCUCUCCAUUCCUUCCCGCAGCCCUAAUCAGGAAUCCGGGAUCGCCGCUGAUCACCACCGUCCGUGGCUUUACGCUUUAAAUAAAACAAUCCCAUUGGUCGACAAUGUGUUUUAUACAUGCCACAGGCCAUCUUGUGCUCUAUUUCUUGCGCCCAGGGCUUGUGGCACACGCGCCUAGGGCUUGUUCCAGGUCUCCAAGGGCGGAGCUUUCCAGAUCGUCCUUCAUUGCGAUCAAAGCUUUGCAAUGGUGCGGCGAUGCAGCUCCUAGAGGACAAGAUUUGCCAUCUCAUAGAGCACCAUCUGUUUGGCGAUUGUCCGUGUCGAGUUCUUCCCUCUCGCACGUAAGAAAAACUUUGGUACGUACUGUUGAAUGCCGGACAAUCGCAAUGCAUGACGACAGGCAAUACAAAACAAAGUAGUUGUUGCAAGAUCAAUAAACACCAACUCAAUCAACAAAAUUACUUGUGCUUGGGAAUACUUAACAUAGGCUUAAUUUUAUAUAAUUCAAAAGUUUAAAACACAAUUAAAACUAGGUGAUAUUUAGAAUAUAGCUGUGAUGAAAUCUAAAUUUUGAGUUCCUGAUGUUUGAAGUUCCUAGAGUUUCAAUAGGGGGAACGAUUGUGAAAAAUUCGUCGACGUUCAAGAAAACUGCCCAUGCAGCCGGCUGCUAACCCAACUGUGUUGCAUACGAACUGAGAUCGCAAUCCUCAUGUAGAUUCCGCGGCUCGCCGCGCACUGGAUCGAUCGAGACCUCAAAUCAAUUCAUGAUAGUUUUUCAUGUUACAAUAACGCUCAGUUAAGUUUUCUAGGUUUCCAGAUCAAUGCAGCCGGUAAAGAUUGUUUCCGCGCAGCUCGUUCGGCCAUCACACCCAUCACGCGCCACCACCAAAAGGUUUGAGCUCACAGGUUUCGACCGAAUCAUGCAGUACGUCCCCUACCAGAAGCGAAUACUCUUCUACAAAUCUUUCGAGGAGGAGCAAGAAGAUCUCACUGUGGCGCUCCAGCAAAGCCUGGCCGAGGUAUUGCUACCAUUCUACCCAUUAGCGGGACGAUUGAGAAGCGGGAAUGGAGUUUCAGAGCCGGCAUUGGAGCUGGAUCGCACAGAUUUGGGCGUGAGAUUCACCCAAGCCGUGACGAGCUCGCGUCUCAGCGAGCUGGGAGAUUUCCAGCCUUGCGAAUUUUGUGAAUCCCUCUGUGACGUGGAGUGUUCCCCAGAGUUUCCAUGGACACCAGAUACUCCACUUCUUUUUCUCCAGGCAAGGUUUUCUUUGGAGUUCUUUAGUGUCUUUGCUGAUAUAUAAUUCUUCUUUCUACUCUACCUAAGGUGACUAAGUUCGGAUGUGGAGGCCUUAGCAUUGGUGUUUCUGGCAGCCACCAGAUCAUGGACGGUGUAAGUUUCUGGCAUUUCCUAAACUCCUGGGCCGAGUUCUCAAGAACAGGGAAGAUCGCGCACGCGCCCCAGGUGACUUUCGGCUACGAGGAGCGAGAUCCAACUCAAGCCAUCAAAGAAGUCCCGAGAAAGCCAAGCAAAUGCAGCGAGAGAUCCCAGGAGCUGGGACUCAAGCACUACAAGAUGGACAAGGAUAUGAUCGAGAAGCUCAAGCGUGAAGCACCAGGCACCACAACUUUCGAGGUUGUGUGCGCUCACUUCUGGAAGAAAGUGGUGGUGGCCAAGGGGCUGGAAGGAUCGAGCAGCUGCAACUUCAUGGUUCUUGUGGAUUGCCGCGGCCGGAUCAAGUCACUCCCCUCCAAGUUCUACUUUGGAAACGCGAUCUGGUCCUCGGUUGCGACUGCCACCGUCGGCGAUCUCGCAAGAAAUCCCGUGUCGCAUGCCGCGGCUCUUCUACACGAUGCGAUCACUAGAUUCGACGCAGACAAGGCAGAAGAGAAGUUCCAUCAGCGUCGACGUCCACAAGCUCAGCAAGGAUCGCAAGUGCUUGGAUCCAAGCCUUGCUUCACUCUGGUGGCGGUGGAGUCGCCCAAGCAACCGGUUUUCGAGUGUGACUUUGGGUUUGGAAGGCCGGUGGGGAUGAGCUUUGGAGCGAAUGAUCUUCAUGACGGCAAGAUCUAUCUCUUUCCUCUGGCACCCGGGUCGGGCAGUGGUGUUUCAGUCACUGUUGUUCUUGACAAGGAGUCUCUUGGAAGAAUGCUUUGAUUCACACGAGUUCUCUGCGAUCUUUCAUGAACCCGGCAGCUACUGAGUUGAGCCUCCAGACGCAUAUCAAUCAGCUCAAGAAAUCCAGCGAAAGUUUGCAACCUGCGAGGUACGCUUCUCUUCUUCAAAAGUGUACCGAGCAAAAGUCCGCCGCUGCUGGCAAACUCGUCCACCAGCACAUCCUUUCCUCUGGGUGUGGAGUGAAUAGAUAUAUUCAAAACCAUCUGAUUUUCAUGUAUGCAAAGUGUGGCUGCCUGGAAGAUGCCUUGGAGGUUUUUGAGCUGCUUCCAAAUCCAAAUGUUUUCUCGUGGACAGCGCUGAUCACCGCCUAUGCCAAGGAAGGGCAUUUGCGGGAGGUGCUUGGGCUUUUCAGGAAGAUGCAGCUAGAUGGUACUAAGCCAGAUGCUUUUGUUUUCAGCACAGUUCUUACAGCAUGCUCUAGCGCUGGAGCUCUAAACGAAGGAAAAGCCAUUCACGACUGCGCUGUUUUGGCUGGGAUGGAAACACAAGUUGUGGGAAAUGCAAUCGUCAACUUAUACGGGAAAUGCGGGAGAGUGCAUGAAGCUAAGGCUGUGUUUGAAAGGUUGCCAGAAAGAAACCUUGUGUCCUGGAAUGCUCUCAUUGCAGCAAAUGCACAAAACGGGCAUUGCAAGGAUGCGAUGCAAGUUUUUCAUUUGAUGGAUCUGGAUGGUUCUGUAAGACCAAACGAUGCUACCUUUGUCAGUGUUGUGGAUGCCUGCUCGAACCUUUUGGAUCUUCCCCGAGGAAAGUCCACCCACGAACGGAUCAUUCGUACGGGCUUUGAUUCCUAUCUCUUUGUCGGAAAUUCGCUUGUGAACAUGUACGGAAAGUGUGGGAGUGUUGACCGUGCUAGGCUAGUAUUUGAAAAGAUGAGGUUGCGGGAUGUUUUAUCGUGGACUUCGUUGAUCGCUGCGUAUGCCUUAAACGGGCAUCGCAGUGCUGCGCUGGAAUGGAACCAGAGGAUGGACUUGGAGGGUAUUCCUCCCAACGACAUCACAUUUGUAAGCAUUUUAUUUGCUUGCGGCCACUCGGGACUCGUCUAUCAGGGGCGAGAUUUUUUCGUGUCGAUGGUGGAAGACCAUUCCAUUUUGCCAACAAUGGAGCACUAUGGUUGCAUGAUCGAUCUUCUUGCUCGUGCUGGGUGGCUGGAAGAGGCCACGCAACUUAUUAAUUUGAGCCCAUUUGGUCACAAAUCGUUUGAGUGGCUAACACUUUUAGGAGCUUGCAAGAUGCAUGGAAACCAAGGCUUGGCUUCCCAAGUUGCAAAACAAGUGUUUGUGAAAGAUCCCAAGUCUGCAUCGCCAUAUAUGUUGCUCCUUCGAACUAAAACCUGUCGAAUGGAAUAAUAACUACCAUUUUAUUAUUAAGAUCUAAACAAAGAGUGAUGUUUCUUAAAGCAAAUAUUUGUAACUAGCUAUACCACCGCAGUAGACUCAUUAGCAUAAAAUACAACAAGUGUAACCUGAAUCUCACCCAUGAUACCAAAGAAGUUACUAGUGCCUCCAGUAAUAGCUUAUUCUGAAACUUGCUGAUUACCAAUCAAUAAGCUCGUUGUUAUCAGUAUCAGCAACCAAAACCUCGAUUCAUAUAAAAUGGUGGGUCAUAAUAAUUUGUACACUUGAGAUUUAUCACUAACCAAAACUAUACCAAGUAAACCAAUGAGGUAUAAGCAAGCUCAAGCUUAAGCCUGCUAAAUAAAAUCAGAAAAUCGAGUACCAAGAACAUAAGCAUUAACAAAAUCUUUGGGUCACCAAUUCCACUAUAAAAUUUCAACAUAGGAAAAAUUGGACCAUAUUAUUCUUUCUACUAGCAAAUGAAAGUAACAAGAGUAUCAAUACUAUCAACACAAGAAUUUCAACAAAAAUCAGAUCAUAUUCUUGAUAUAUUUCCCUUAAUGCUUCUGAAGUAAAAAAGUAAAGCAUUGUACUUAGAUUUGAUUAUAUGAAGUUUAUGAGAGUGAGGAGGCUGUGUACUUCAUGUGACGUUGCAACCCACAUUCGAAAGUGCGGAAGGCUGCGUGACUUUGAAGGAGGCAAGCGCAUCCACAACAAUCUCAUAGCUUCUUCAAGGCCAAUUGAUAGCUAUCUCUCAAAUCUUCUGGUAGAAAUGUAUAGUAGAUGUGGCAGUGUUACACAAGCAUGGCUAGUCUUCAAACAAAUCCAUGACAAGAGCGUCUACUCCUGGACUGUUAUCAUCGCAGCAUUUGCCCACAAUGGGCAUUUUCUUGAGGCAUUUGUUCUCUUCCACAAAAUGGACUUGGAGGGCGUUUUGCCGAACAAAGUCACCUUCGUCACAGUCCUGCGAGCAUGCACCACCCUCGCACAGUGCGAGAAAAUCUUCGCCCGGGUGAAACAUCUCGGCUGGGAGCUAGACACCACCCUUGGAACCGCCUUUGUGAGCACAUUCGCAAAGCUCGGGGACUUGGCCGCGGCUAGAGACGCUUUCGAGAAUCUCGGCAGCUCCAGGAAUGUGGUGUCGUGGACCGUGAUGAUCUGGGCUUACGCGCAGCAGGGUUUCAUUCGAGCGGCCUUCGAUCUCUACAAGAGAAUGGACUGCGAGCCAAACGCUGUAACUUUCAUGGCCGUGAUGGAUUCCUGUUUGCGUCCAGAGGACUUACCGCGAGCGGAGCAAAUCCACGCACACAUGGUUGCCUCCGGCUUUGAUUCCGAUGCUGUCUUGCAAGUUUGUCUCGUCACCAUGUAUGGGAAGUGUGGGAGCGUCGACAGCGCUUGGAGCAUCUUCGAAAACUUGAAGGAGAGAAGCGUGGUUGCAUGGAACUCCAUGCUAUCUGCGUUCGCCAGCAACGGGUGUUACGAGAGGAGCUUGAAACUCUACGAAAGAAUGCUGCUAGAGGGGAAAACACCCGACAAGAUCACUUACUUGGCUGUGCUUGAUGCCUGCCAGAGCGUUUCCGAGGCCCGGAGGUACGCCGCUACCUUCGAGCUGGAGCUAGAUAUUGCUGCAAAAAAUGCCGCGGUCAGUGCGUACGCGAGGUGUGGAAGCUUGAAAGAAGCCAAGGCUGCGUUUGAUGCAAUACAAUGGAAGAACAAUGCUGUGACAUGGAACGCCAUGAUCUCCGGCCUUGCACAGCACGGCGAGAGCAAGCAAGCUCUCGAGUGCUUUUGGAAAAUGGAACUGGAAGGAGUGAGACCAAACUCGGUCACUUACCUCGCAAGUCUAGAGGCAUGCUCGAGCUUGAACGAUUUGACGAGAGGGAGACAACUCCACGCCAGGAUCCUCCUGGAAAACAUACACGAGGCAAACCUCAGCAAUGCCGUGAUCAACAUGUAUGGCAAGUGUGGAAGUCUAGACGAAGCAAUGGACGAGUUUGCAAAAAUGCCCGAGAGAGAUGUGGUCUCCUGGAACACAAUGAUAGCAACAUACGCUCAACACGGCAGUGGAAGACAAGCACUAGAGUUUUUCAAGCAAAUGGACCUGGAAGGAUGGACUACGGACAGAGCAACGUACCUGGGAGCGAUCGACGCGUGCGGCAGCGUUCCAUCUCUAGCUCUCGGAAAAACCAUCCACUCCAUCGUCGCCACUGCUGCUCCAUGCCUGGAACAAGAUCCGGGAGUCGCCACAGCGCUCGUCACCAUGUAUGCUCGGUGUGGAAGCCUGCACGACGCAAAGUCAGUGUUCUGGAGAUCUCACUCGCGGAACCUCGUUACCUGGUCGAACUUGAUCGCUGCGUGUGCUCAGCACGGCCGAGAGAACGAGGCCCUGGAUCUCUUCCGCGAGAUGCAGCUCCAGGGAACCAAGCCCGACGCUCUAACUUUCAGCACGCUCGUCGCGGCUUGCAGCCGGCGAGGAGUCGUGAAAGAUGGCGUCUUCUACUUUGUGUCCAUGGUGGAGGACUACAGCAUCCCGGCGAGCGAGGACCACUUUGGAGGGAUGGUCGAUUUGCUGGGACGAGCAGGCUGGCUGGAAGAGGCCGAGCAAGUGAUGCGAAAGAAUCCUUGCGCUUUGGCUCACGCUGUUUUGCUGGGAGCUUGUCACGUCCACGGCGAUGUCGAGCGAGGGAUUCGCAUCGCUCAGAGCGCUCUCGAGUUGGAUUGGAAGAACUCGGCAUCGUAUAUCACCAUGUCUCACAUGUACGCUGGCGCUGGAUCACGGCAAGAGUUUCACGAGUUAGAGACCAGCUUAUCAGAAGAACUUGGAUCACUCACCUCUUGAAGAAAUCUUGUGCGCUGAUAGUCGAAGAGAUCGCAAGAACUCGAGAAACAAUGAGGAUGAAUGAUCAAUCAGCCAUUCAAGGAAAAGAGAUUUUCUACAUCAGAGGAGAUCGAUCUGAUCGAGUCGAGCGGUGAAUUUCUACUAGCUAGCGGCUACGUUUCCUUGCCCUCGCUUACGCGAUGUCGGUGUCGUCAAAAUCAUCCUCGAAGCUGUUGAAGAAGUCGAGAUCGCAGGGCUUGUUGUCGACGAUGGCGUCGCCCAGCAUCUCGAUGCCGUCGCCGUCGAUGUCCAUGUCCAUCGCGACGCUGCCGCCCACGCCCUGAUCCUCGACAUCGCCCGCCACAUACACUGGGAAUGGCUUCAUCGCCCGCGCUUCCCUCCUCCAAACCCUAGAACAAGAUCUCCGACCGAUGGGACGAAUAUACCCUUAGGGCAACGUUCACUGGGAUAUUCCUAACCAACUUGACCAUUGACUAGGACUGUACAGGGCUAUUGUCUGGCUUUCUUUUGGCCCCUGGGAGUACGCUCGUGUUUCUCGAGCAAGAGUUCUGGCAAGCCUCGAAUGGCGGUGAUUUUCCUGGAGAGAAAACCAAGUGAGAAACACCACGAUCGAGAAGAUCUCUUACUUGGUCGCGUAGACUUCCCGCGCCUCGGCCUUCCACACCUUCAAUCGCGCGGCGUUCUCUCUCCACCGCUUCACUCGCAAAACCUCGCGGCGAGCAGUGCGAGCCCGGUAGAACUCGAUAAACUUCUUUCGAUCGGCCUGGAAGAGCGCGGGCAACGAUCAAAUUCACGGAAGAGAAAUCUAGCGAGCUUACAUUGACAUAUCUCGUCUUUUGCAAUCCACGCCACUGCCUGUUGAGAUUUCUACGCGGCCUUGGCGGCGGCCGGGGCUUGAUCACCGGAUCGUUGGCCUCGAGCUUGGUCACUCCAGUGUAGAGUGUUGGAACUCUAAAAGGAUCUGCCAGUGAAAGUCUCCACAAGAAUGCCCAAGAGAUCACCAGCAAGACAUACCCACGUAUUUGUUUCUUCGCUUGUCGCGGAACAAAUGCCGCACCCACAGGCACGAGAAUCGCAAUGCCGGUGGAUCAGCGCAGCCGGAUCUGCCCGUGAUCGCGGAUGAUCGCUGGAGUAGCGGC
RNAcentral lists this long non-coding RNA (27995 nucleotides) under Selaginella moellendorffii. RNAcentral describes it as "long non-coding RNA (SMOE_LNC001240)". The record is from RNAcentral. Lineage: Eukaryota; Viridiplantae; Streptophyta; Lycopodiopsida; Selaginellales; Selaginellaceae.